AUUGAACGCUGGCGGCAGGCCUAACACAUGCAAGUCGAGCGGAUGAAGGGAGCUUGCUCCUGGAUGCAGCGGCGGACGGGUGAGUAAUGCCUAGGAAUCUGCCUGGUAGUGGGGGAUAACGUCCGGAAACGGGCGCUUAUACCGCAUACGUCCAUAGGGUGAAAGUGGGGGAUCUUCGGACCUCACGCUAUCAGAUGAGCCUAGGUCGGAUUAGCUAGUUGGUGGGGUAAAGGCGUACCAAGGCGACGAUCCGUAACUGGUCUGAGAGGAUGAUCAGUCACACUGGAACUGAGACACGGUCCAGACUCCUACGGGAGGCAGCAGUGGGGAAUAUUGGACAAAGGGCGAAAGCCUGAUCCAGCCAUGCCGCGUGUGUGAAGAAGGUCUUCGGAUUGUAAAGCACUUUAAGUUGGGAGGAAGGUCAGUAAGUUAAUACCUUGCUGUUUUGACGGUACCAAAAGAGUAAGCACCGGCUAACUUCGUG
Molecule: ribosomal RNA, 484 nt
Filed under: uncultured bacterium
Lineage: Bacteria
Description: partial 16S ribosomal RNA
Rfam family: Bacterial small subunit ribosomal RNA
Source: RNAcentral